CCGGGCUUCGGCCCGGGGACAGCGGCGAAAGGGCGAGUAAUGCGCUCUUUAUGUACCCCGAGGUGGGGGAUAGGUCGGGGAAACUCGGCGUAAUACCCCAUGUGAUCUCCGGAUCAAAGGCUUCGGCCGCCUUGGGAGCAGAGAGCGUCCUAUCAGGUUGUUGGUGAGGUAAAGGCUCACCAAGCCAAAGACGGGUAGCGGGUGUGAGAGCAUGACCCGCCGCAUCGGGACUGGGACACUGCCCGG
Molecule: ribosomal RNA, 246 nt
Filed under: uncultured bacterium
Lineage: Bacteria
Description: partial 16S ribosomal RNA
Rfam family: Bacterial small subunit ribosomal RNA
Source: RNAcentral